Molecule: non-coding RNA, 27 nt
Filed under: Bombyx mori (domestic silkworm)
Lineage: Eukaryota; Metazoa; Arthropoda; Insecta; Lepidoptera; Bombycidae
Source: RNAcentral
UACUUUACGUUGCCGGCACUGCUUGAC